RNAcentral lists this unclassified non-coding RNA (335 nucleotides) under soil metagenome. RNAcentral describes it as "partial contains 5.8S ribosomal RNA, internal transcribed spacer 2, and large subunit ribosomal RNA". The stretch from base 2 to 121 matches the Rfam family "5.8S ribosomal RNA", at positions 35 to 154 of the family's 154-position model. The record is from RNAcentral.
GGAUGAAGAACGCAGCGAAAUGCGAUAAGUAAUGUGAAUUGCAGAAUUCAGUGAAUCAUCGAAUCUUUGAACGCACAUUGCGCCCGCCAGUAUUCUGGCGAGCAUGCCUGUUCGAGCGUCAUUUCAACCAUCAAGCCCCAGGCUUGUGUUGGAGCCCUGCGGCUGCCGCAGCCUCCCAAAACCAGUGGCGGGCUCGCUAUCACACCGAGUGCAGUAGUUUACUCUUCGCUCAGGGCGUGUGGCGGGUGCUAGCCGUGAAACCCCCAACUUCUCAAGGUUGACCUCGGAUCAGGUAGGAAUACCCGCUGAACUUAAGCAUAUCAAUAAGCGGAGGA